Molecule: long non-coding RNA, 3535 nt
Filed under: Sus scrofa (pig)
Lineage: Eukaryota; Metazoa; Chordata; Mammalia; Artiodactyla; Suidae
Description: lncRNA (ENSSSCG00065000921.1)
Source: RNAcentral
UGAGCCCUGUUCUCUCGGUGGCGGGGGUGAGAGGAGGGAAGAAGAGGGGAAGGCAGGGCGUGGGGAGAGGAGGGCGUACAGAGCGUUCUUGAGCCUCAAAGGACAUUGACUGAGGGGGUACUCAGAAGAGUGCGCCCAAAGGACUGCUGGGUUGAAGACCAGCGUGACCUAAGAAAAUGACAGUCAUUUCCUGCUGAGGAAGAAGAAGGAGGGACCCGAGAACCCCGGAGACCGACAAAGGCGUCUCCGAGAGCAGAACCUGAAGGGCGGCCGAUGGGUGUACUCAGCUGUAGAGUACCUUCAGGUUCCCCGCUAAGAAGAAAAGGAGCCCUGAAAGCCACCUUUGGUUACUGGCCUGAAAUGCCCUGAGGAACAUAAGCAACGUCAUGGAAUUUUUACAUCAGAUGAGGUCUCUAAUGAGAUGGAAGGUGAAGAAAAUAAGACUAAUUGUGUCUAAACAGAUAUACAGACACUGCAGCCACAAAAAGAUGACCAAACAUUCCUGCCCUAGCAAAGGUGAAUGACUAUUGCUUCUCCAACGACAACUCUUACCCUAUUCCAUUCCUCCUGCUUUCCUGAUGAAAAGUAUUAAGCAAAUCACUGAAUUGCCUCUGCUUUUGACAGCACCAGAAUAAACCCCUGUUUCUUUGGGCCUUCCCCAAAAUCACCUAACACAAGCCAGAAUACUAUAAUAAGCCCUCUUUAACAUUCCCUUUCUGAGAUGCUACAUAAUUACCCAGAGUGUAAAGUUUCCCUCAACACAGCAGCUAAUAACCCUUCAAUAUUUGACAAUAACUGAUUUGGUAGUCUUUGGUGGGCACCACCAGUAUAAAAAAACCUACAUUUAUAAAUUGUACAUGACCAUAGAAGACUUUAGAGCCUAUACUCUAAUGAGAAAUCAAUCCUUAAAGUGAAUGGUAAAAUGGGACAAAAUCUUGGUAUAUUAAAAGCUUGUAGAGAAUUCUCUUGUGGCACAUUAAGUUAAGGAUCUGGGCUUGUCACUGCCAUGGUUCAGGUCACAGCUGUGGCUCCAGGUCGGUCAUGGCCCCAGAACCUCCACAUGCCUUGGGCACAGCCAAAAAAAUAAAUAAGGAGUUCCCACUGUGGCACAGAGGGUAAAGGAUCCAGCAUUAUCUCUGUGGCACGGGUUAUAUACCUGGUCCGGUGCAGCGGGUUAAGGAUCUGGCGUUGUGGCAGCUGCAGAUUCAAUCUCUGGCCCAGGAACUUUCAUUUGCCUCGGGUGUGGCCAAAGAAACAAAAAAUAAAGGAAAAAAAAAAAUUAAAAAGUGAGGUCUUCAGUCACACUAGCCACAUUUCAAGUGCUCAACAAGCCUGUUGUGGCUAAAUGGCUUCCUUAUCACACCAUGCAGCUUUUGACUAAGGAAAAGGAGGAACUGAAACCCUACUAUCUGAAACCACCACUCUGAAAGGCCUCCCCUCUGGCUCUGACUCUCCUCUAAGUCACUGCCCUUCUUCACUCCACCUUGGAAAGUUAGAACCUGUUAUUUAAGACUUAGAUGUGGGGCUCAUAUGAAUUACUUCAGAAAAAGCUUCCAUUUCCUUGAGGGAGUUUCACUUGUAUACAGAAGUGCAGCUUUCUAAGGUGUUAGCCAUCCACUUUAACUCUGUGGGUGUAGUAUUUCUCAGAAGAAAGGCACCAGAGACUUCCUCUAUCUCCAUUUGUCACCCUGUGAACUUUUAUCCCAGUUAAUUAAUUAAUUAAUUAAUUGUCUUUUUAGAGGUUCCCGGGCUAGAGGUCCAAUCGGAGUUAUAGUCACUGGCCUACAACAGAGCUGCAGCAGUGCAGGAUCCGAGCUGUGUCUGUGACCUACACCACAGCUCACAGCAACGCUGGAUCCUUAACCCACUGAGCAAGGCCAGGGAUUGAACCUGCAUCCUCAUGGAUGCUAGUUGGGUUCAUUAACCGCUGAGCAACGACAGGAACUCCUGAGUAGAUUAUUAAACAAUGAAAUUAAUGUGAUUCAAUGUCUAAAAUUGAAGGCAGCUUUAUAAAGUUGUCUCAUUUGUGAAUAGCACAGAGAUUAAAAAUCUCCAGGACAGAAGAAUGAUGGAAUGACAUGAAGCAUCAUGAGGUUUGCAUAUUUUUUCUAGGCCCUAAGUGUGGUUGGCUUUUAUUUACAGUUUUCAGCACAAUUAAGUUUCCUCACAAUGCUUGAUAUGUAUUUUAGACAAGGGUUGUUUGGAGUUGUAUUUUUUUUUUUUUUUUUUAGUAAUCUUUGGUUACUUUAUGAUUUAAUCAGAUUUUCUGUUGUCAAAGUCUUUAGUUACACAUGGCUCCUAAGAAUUGUUUUUUUCUUUCUCACUUCUCAGAAAAGAGUAAAAACCCUCAGCUUUUUGGUAAGCUCUCUAAAGGCAAGGAUGGACAGAACGGAACUAUUGAAUUCCCUUUAUCUUCCAUAGCAUUACUCAUGGGGCUCAAAUAACUUCUCAGUAAAUAUUUGUUGAUUGCUAGAAAUGCUUUUUCUGUAGAUGUUCACAUGUGUUCUAGAUGAAAUUAUCCAGUUUUAUUUUUAUUUUUGUUUAUUUUACUUUUUAUUUUUUUGGCCAUGACCAAGGCACAUGUAAGUUCCAGGGUCAGGGAUCAAACUCGUGCCACAGCAAUAAUCCAAGCUGCUGUGGUGAUAAUGCUGGAUUCUUAACCAGCUGUGCCCCAGGAGAACUCCCAGUUUUAUUUUAAAAGUGUUAAAUGUCUUUGUCUCCCACCAGUGAUGAAGGGCAGCAUCUAAGUUUAUCUCCUUCCUGCUGUAUCCUGAGGAGCUGGAUGGUCCCCUGCCUGAAGGAAGAACCAAAGUAGUGUUGAAUUAAUAGAUAAAUGAAGCUAACUACUUUUUACAGUAAAGUGCUUUAAAAUGAAUAUGUAAUUGCAUUUAUUAAUCCUUGGGAAGAACUCACAUAAAUAUUUUAAGUAUUAAAAAAUAGAGCAAGGGAGUUUUUUCUGUGGCAAUGGGAUCCGAGGUUUCUUGGGAGAACUGAGACACGGGUUCAAUCCCCGGCCUGGCACCAUGGGUUGUUGCCCCAAGUGUGGCUGGGAUCUGAUCCCUGGUGCAGGAGGAACUCCAUAUACAGUGGGGUGGCAAAAAAAAAAAGAGCAAGGAUUUCUCCAGUGGCGCAGCAGGUUAGGGAUCCUGUGUUGUCACUGCAGCAACUUGGAUUGCUGCUGUGGUGUGGGUUCGACCCCUGGCCCAGGAACUUCCACAUAGUGCAGUGCAGCCAAAAGAACAAAACAAAGCAAACAGCCUCACUGAAGGGGCAUAAUUGCCCAAGUACAUUCAGCACUAGGAAGAGCCAUGUUCACCAGAGCUCAGCCAUGGAAACGGGCCUCUGUCAGUUGUGGUCAGGAUGAAUGAAAACAACCUUUGUGAUUCUAAGUCAGCCAGCAUCCAAAUAGAAAACAAAGAGUUCAUAUAUAGUUCACAUUUUCAGGAAAUGACAAAUAGCUUUUCAUUGCAUUUAUGAAUUUCGUAAAUGUCCUUACAGAUUUUCAAUAAAUUUACACAAUAAAUAUUCAAUAAAU